AAGUGACGCGGUAGAGGAGCGUUCUGUAAGCCUGUGAAGGUGAGUUGAGAAGCUUGCUGGAGGUAUCAGAAGUGCGAAUGCUGACAUGAGUAACGACAAUGGGUGUGAAAAACACCCACGCCGAAAGACCAAGGGUUCCUGCGCAACGUUAAUCGACGCAGGGUUAGUCGGUUCCUAAGGCGAGGCUGAAAAGCGUAGUCGAUGGGAAACAGGUUAAUAUUCCUGUACUUCUGGUUACUGCGAUGGAGGGACGGAGAAGGCUAGGCCAGCUUGGCGUUGGUUGUCCAAGUUUAAGGUGGUAGGCUGAAAUCUUAGGUAAAUCCGGGGUUUCAAGGCCGAGAGCUGAUGACGAGUCGUCUUUUAGAUGACGAAGUGGUUGAUGCCAUGCUUCCAAGAAAAGCUUCUAAGCUUCAGGUAACCAGGAACCGUACCCCAAACCGACACAGGUGGUCGGGUAGAGAAUACCAAGGCGCUUGAGAGAACUCGGGUGAAGGAACUAGGCAAAAUGGCACCGUAACUUCGGGAGAAGGUGCGCCGGCUAGGGUGAAGGAUUUACUCCGUAAGCUCUGGCUGGUCGAAGAUACCAGGCCGCUGCGACUGUUUAUUAAAAACACAGCACUCUGCAAACACGAAAGUGGACGUAUAGGGUGUGACGCCUGCCCGGUGCCGGAAGGUUAAUUGAUGGGGUUAGCGCAAGCGAAGCUCUUGAUCGAAGCCCCGGUAAACGGCGGCCGUAACUAUAACGGUCCUAAGGUAGCGAAAUUCCUUGUCGGGUAAGUUCCGACCUGCACGAAUGGCGUAACGAUGGCGGCGCUGUCUCCACCCGAGACUCAGUGAAAUUGAAAUCGCUGUGAAGAUGCAGUGUAUCCGCGGCUAGACGGAAAGACCCCGUGAACCUUUACUGUAGCUUUGCACUGGACUUUGAGCCUGCUUGUGUAGGAUAGGUGGGAGGCUUUGAAGCGUGGACGCCAGUUCGCGUGGAGCCAUCCUUGAAAUACCACCCUGGCAUGCUUGAGGUUCUAACUCUGGUCCGUAAUCCGGAUCGAGGACAGUGUAUGGUGGGCAGUUUGACUGGGGCGGUCUCCUCCUAAAGAGUAACGGAGGAGUACGAAGGUGCGCUCAGACCGGUCGGAAAUCGGUCGCAGAGUAUAAAGGCAAAAGCGCGCUUGACUGCGAGACAGACACGUCGAGCAGGUACGAAAGUAGGUCUUAGUGAUCCGGUGGUUCUGUAUGGAAGGGCCAUCGCUCAACGGAUAAAAGGUACUCCGGGGAUAACAGGCUGAUACCGCCCAAGAGUUCAUAUCGACGGCGGUGUUUGGCACCUCGAUGUCGGCUCAUCACAUCCUGGGGCUGAAGCCGGUCCCAAGGGUAUGGCUGUUCGCCAUUUAAAGUGGUACGCGAGCUGGGUUUAGAACGUCGUGAGACAGUUCGGUCCCUAUCUGCCGUGGACGUUUGAGAUUUGAGAGGGGCUGCUCCUAGUACGAGAGGACCGGAGUGGACGAACCUCUGGUGUUCCGGUUGUCACGCCAGUGGCAUUGCCGGGUAGCUAUGUUCGGAAAAGAUAACCGCUGAAAGCAUCUAAGCGGGAAACUUGCCUCAAGAUGAGAUCUCACUGGGAACUUGAUUCCCCUGAAGGGCCGUCGAAGACUACGACGUUGAUAGGCUGGGUGUGUAAGCGUUGUGAGGCGUUGAGCUAACCAGUACUAAUUGCCCGUGAGGCUUGACCAU
RNAcentral lists this ribosomal RNA (1728 nucleotides) under Pseudomonas aeruginosa. Its description in RNAcentral is "partial 23S ribosomal RNA". It matches the Rfam family "Bacterial large subunit ribosomal RNA", at positions 1218 to 2925 of the family's 2925-position model. The record is from RNAcentral. Lineage: Bacteria; Pseudomonadati; Pseudomonadota; Gammaproteobacteria; Pseudomonadales; Pseudomonadaceae.